RNAcentral lists this ribosomal RNA (492 nucleotides) under uncultured bacterium. RNAcentral describes it as "partial 16S ribosomal RNA". It matches the Rfam family "Bacterial small subunit ribosomal RNA", at positions 30 to 507 of the family's 1533-position model. The record is from RNAcentral.
AUUGAACGCUGGCGGCAUGCUUUACACAUGCAAGUCGAACGGUAACAGGCCUUCGGGUGCUGACGAGUGGCGAACGGGUGAGUAAUGCAUCGGAACGUGCCCAGAGGUGGGGGAUAACGCAGCGAAAGCUGUGCUAAUACCGCAUGUGAUCUGAGGAUGAAAGCGGGGGACCAGGCAGCAAUGUUUGGCCUCGCGCCUUUGGAGCGGCCGAUGUCAGAUUAGGUAGUUGGUGGGGUAAAGGCCUACCAAGCCGACGAUCUGUAGCUGGUCUGAGAGAACGACCAGCCACACUGGGACUGAGACACGGCCCAGACUCCUACGGGAGGCAGCAGUGGGGAAUUUUGGACAAUGGGCGCAAGCCUGAUCCAGCAAUGCCGCGUGCGGGAAGAAGGCCUUCGGGUUGUAAACCGCUUUUGUACGGAACGAAAAGGCUCUGGCUAAUACCUGGGGCUGAUGACGGUACCGUAAGAAUAAGCACCGGCUAACUACGUG